Peromyscus maniculatus bairdii (prairie deer mouse) is the source of this 796-nucleotide non-coding RNA. The record is from RefSeq and is a predicted model, not a curated record. NCBI's taxonomy places the organism in Eukaryota, Metazoa, Chordata, Mammalia, Rodentia, Cricetidae.
GUCAAAGUGCAACUUGGGCUCCUAAACACUGCCAUGGAAAAUACAUCAGCAAAACUUUAUCAUUCAAAUGUAUUUCAGGCAUCAAAUAGAAAACGAUUAUAGUGAGACAUGAAAGAGAUUAACAUUGAAAGGCAAGAUCACCUCAGGUUGCUGUGAGUACACAACGUGGUGGAAUUCAUUGUACAUACUAUUUGAAAACGUUGGUGUGGAGGCACAUUGCCGCGCUGAUCUGAAACCAAGAGGACAUUGAUACAUUCAAAGCUGGGAGAAGCGUGGAGGCAGGGCCAGACCGUCACAGCUAAGCAGCUCACUGAGGGCAGAUUAAUAACAAGUUACUCUGAUGACUAGGUGCCUGAGCUCACUGCCCAUAUGUCACACCAUUACAGUAUCUUAAAUGAGAUUGUCGUGAUGUCCAGGACACAAUGAAGGACACAUAUGGAGAACCAGAAUCCAGAGAUGCAAGGGGGUGUGAUGGAGUCAUGUGUAUAUGUCCAUGUGUUUGCACCUGUACCCAUAAGUGUGAAGAUGAUGUCAAAGCCAGGUAUCUCCCCCUAUUUUUGCAGGGUCUCUCAGUGAACCUGGGGUUCACUAACUAAGCAAAGCUAUUAGGCCAGCAAGUCCUGUGGAUUAUUUUAAUCAUCUCUGCCCCUGAUGCUGGGGCUCUAAAGGUGUGCCACUGUGCUGGACUUAUUGCAUUAGUGAUGGGUGGUCCAAAUCCAAAUCUUCAUGCUUCCUCAGUAACCACUUUACUGAAGGAGCCUUCUCCUCAGUCCUCAACUGUGGCUUUUACAGUCCA